This is a long non-coding RNA of Lolium rigidum, 3494 nucleotides long. RefSeq lists it as uncharacterized. NCBI's taxonomy places the organism in Eukaryota, Viridiplantae, Streptophyta, Magnoliopsida, Poales, Poaceae. The record is from RefSeq and is a predicted model, not a curated record. The transcript is spliced from 8 exons.
GCACGGCGGCGGCCCCUUCGGAGUGGAGCAGGCAAGCACACAGACGCCCAACACAGAUUGCGGGAGCCGGCCGUGGUCAUCGCCCCUGAUGUGCUGCUGGCUGCCGCUCCACGCCAUGGAGGUUGCCACAAGUGUAGACUGGAGACGCGGUGGUGCCCUCUACAUGUUAGAUAUGCGUGCAGCAGGCAACCUAGAUGUUGUUGUGCUCUAACACAGCAGGGGCGACACACAAGAGCUAUCUGGCGACUCAGCGACGACGAGCUUGCUGAACACGAGCAUGGUUGAUAUUCAGGCUACUACUGACACGGCCAGGAAGAAUUGACAAUCUCUGAAUUGGAGUUUCUCAAUGAGAAAGGAGCACAGGAUGGCAUGUGGAGAGUACUCCUGGACGCACUUGCAUAAGAGACUGGGCAGCUGGAUCCAUCUCGGCGCAGAUCCUGCUCAGUUCUAACGAGCCAUCCCUCUUGACGUAUGUGCGCCACAGCUGCUUCGGUAAGGUCCUGCUCGCUGAGCUCUCCACGUGGGAUACCGCCUAGGGGUCACAACGGCAAUGCAGACAACUUUGGUCAAGGAUGUCUGGCGGCGAGGUCAUCUAUGUAAGACACUUGCGUGUGUCAUGGGCAUCUAGGAAGACAAAGAUUAAGAAAUCUAGAUGAAUUUGAUUUCAUCAUGGUCUGACUGUGAGGUCACAACGGCAAUGCAGACAACUUUGGUCAAGGAUGUCUGGCGGCGAGGCCAUCUAUGUAAGACACUUGCGCGUGUCAUGGGCAUCUAGGAAGACAAAUAUUAAGAAAUCUAGAUGAAUUUGAUUUCAUCAUGGUCUGACUGUGAGGUCACAACGGCAAUGCAGACAACUUUGGUCAAGGAUGUCUGGCGGCGAGGCCAUCUAUGUAAGACACUUGCGCGUGUCAUGGGCAUCUAGGAAGACAAAUAUUAAGAAAUCUUGAUGAAUUUGAUUUCAUCAUGGUCGGACUGUGAGGUACCAAUUGUAGCUGAUACGGUGCAGAUUUUUCCCCUCUCAGGCUCAUUACUGUGCUUAUUCGCACAAGGUAACAUCAGUGCAGCCGAUCGCCUGGUUCUUUGCAUUUGCAAUGGGCAAAAAGUAAGACCAGUGCAGCCGACUACCUGAUUCUCUGCAUUCGCACAAUAUUCAGUCUCAGCGAGUCAUUUUAGGCUAACAUGAUUCACACUGCAGGGAUGAAUUAUUUAUAAGUUUAGCACAUUCCAUUUUCAGGUAUGCCGUGUGAGCUUUAGAAUAUGCAUGCGUCUACGAAAAUCCAUGUAGUUAGAAGUUCUUAGUUGCUAUAUUAUUCGCUGCUGACAGAUAAUUUUCCUUUUCCUUUGUCAAUAGAAGCAAUCGAACAACAAGCACUAGACUGCUUGAGUUUUUAUACAGCCUACUCUAAACUUCUCCAUAUCAGGUCACAAGCUCUGAAACAGUAAGCAAUAACAGCAAAAGCCAGGAAUCAGCCACUGCCCCCCAAAAAAGGAACUUAACUUUACAACGACAUCAGCUGGAGUAAAUCCAUCGACUCCAGUCACUAGAAAUAAUGUGUAUGGUAUCAUGGACCUACGUGUUCUAUUUUCAGCCUGUAAAAUUAAGUACUUAGCCAGCUAUAUACAGCUACCUUAGUUAUCCUACUGUCUUUUGAAACCUGCCACUGUGAUAUACUUUCAGGGUGUUGUAGUAUAUGAUGCAGUACAUUAAUGCCUUAGAUAGUAAAUUAUUUUCCUAAGAAGCAGCAUAGUUCAAGAUGUGUAAAUAUUGCAGUGGAAAGUUUUAGACAGAAAGCUCGAGAUGAACAAUGAAAAGUUACAAUAUAAAGGGCAAGGCAACUAACUUUGCCACCCAAGCUACUCUUACUUUCUAGCACCUUAUACUUUUGAAACACCUCCAUAAACCUGCAUCUCGAUAAGCACUGAUGAGCCAGUUUCACAACAUACUAAUAUUUUUAUCCUAUGUCAAUCUUCUAGCUCCAACAGACAACCAAAAAAUGAUUCUACCACGGGCGCGGCGUGCCGCCGCGCCAAUGCUUUCUAGUAUUUAUAAUUACAACGAAUUUUGGAGUUUAUAGGGUGCAUUGCACCCAUGUGCCAAAAAUCCACGUCCGUCAUGUCUUCAGCUAAAUAUGCCUGAGAAUUAUUAGUCUCAUCGGCCACUAGUAUUGAGCCAUAUCCACGGUUGAUUUCAAGGAUAGUUUAGGCAACUAAGGUUUCGGUAUUUCUUUUUAAGACCCAGAUAUCCCUGAUCUUUAGAUCAUUCGAUCGAGCUGGCACAUCUUCUUUUUGAUCCUCGUUUAGCUUUAACGAUUCAGCUAGCUUUAACAGGCUAGUGUUCUUCUGUUUUCUACCCUUUUCUUUCUGAAGUUUAUCAGACGUAGAAAGUUGCUAACUAUCCGGUUGAUGUCGCUGGUGAUCAUGAGUAGCCACUUGAUAAGUUGAUAUGCACGUGCUAUGUCUGUUCCCGACUACCGCCAUACGAUUUCUAAGCACCUCUAAAGCUUCAAAAUUCUUCGUAUAUAGAUCUGUGACUAUCCAUAUGACUGUAUCGCGGUGUGUUAGAGUUGUCAAAUUGCUCUUUCUCGAUGGAUAAGAGCAUGCUUUAACUUUCCAAUGGCUUUGUGUCAUCCAAACCAGAAUGGGCGUUAGCUUCUCCGUGAUUGUAAUAAGUGGUGGUAUACUGAGACUUGACACUUGGUUUUUAAUAAAAGAAGCCGUGUGCAUCUAUUGAUGCAGAGGCUGGGGCUCUGCUGCUUUAUCGGAAAAAAAUGUAGGCCGUGCGUGUAAAGUGUCUUUGUGCAGUCAUCUGCUUGUCUUUCAACCCACUCACACGGGCUAUCACGCGCCUUCCUUCGCGCCGACCUUCCUUUGUCCCCCAUAUCUCCACAUGCCAGGAUGGCUGGAAUGUGCUUUUGCUACGGCCAUUCUGAAUUCCUGAUCAUGCUUGGUUGAUGUUCUCGUUAGCUCGAGAGUGCACGAGUUGUGCUGGCCUAGCUGCCGACAGCGGCGCGUAUCCAACCCGCAAUGUUGUAACGAGCUGCCGAGAGCGCUCGUUUACGCAAUACAGCGUGUGUGCUCAUCUGAUCAGAAGGAAGAACACUUGCAAGCUAGUCUAGCAGUUACAGACAGAGCAGCAGAGCAUAUAAAGUGAUAAAUCAAUCAUCUGUGAGCUGCCUAGCUAGUGACUAUCGAUCGCUCUAGCUAGUCCCGUGUAAAUAAUUUUAAUUUUCUUUCCGUUGACCCGACCAUGGCUUCAGAAGUAGGGGAGCUGGAAGCGUCGCCACCACUUUCCAAUUUGCUCGUCUAGCUAGUUGAUGGCCUAGUUGAUGGCCUGAUGCCUAUCAUGAGUAUCAUACAUGGUUAUGCGUCUUGCUCGUUGCUCAGUAAAUGCUAUAAGUAUUGACUACUCGAUCCGCUAGUUGAAAGUUACUAGAAUGGAAUGGCUCGGGUAUACAUCAUGUUUGAUUGUUUGAUAUACACACAUGUUGACAGCA